UCGAAGGGGGAGAUUCAUUCGCGUCUCGAUCGUCGGAGGCGGGCGGUCGCGCGACGAACGGCGUUCGCGUCGUUCGCGCCCUCCGUCCGUCCGAACCGGCGUCGAACGCGUGCACUUCUCCCCUUGUAGGACGUCGCGAUCCGUUGGGUGUCGGUCUAAGGCCCGCGGUGGAGCCCGCAAGUUUCGGCUUGCGGACCCGCGGUCGCCCGACCGACUCGCCCGACGGUGUACAGAUGGCGCGAGGCCGCGACCCAGUUCGCGUCCGACCCGCGGCAAGCGCGCUCGUUCGCGUCGGAGAUCGGACCUGGUGCCGGUCCCGACCGCGAGUGGCUGUUGGCCGCGGCGUUCUCGGACAGACCUCGUUCGAACGCCGAUCUGCGACGCUAUAGCUUUGGGUACUUUCAGGACCCGUCUUGAAACACGGACCAAGGAGUCUAGCAUGUGCGCGAGUCAUUGGGACCACACUAAACCUAAAGGCGCAAUGAAAGUGAAGGUCCGCCUAGCGCGGACCGAGGGAAGAUGGGCGGUCGUCGAGAGAGGCCGCCCCGCACUCCCGGGGCGUCUCGUUCUCAUCGCGAGAAGAGGCGCACCAUAAGCGUACACGCUGGGACCCGAAAGAUGGUGAACUAUGCCUGGUCAGGACGAAGUCAGGGGAAACCCUGAUGGAGGUCCGUAGCGAUUCUGACGUGCAAAUCGAUCGUCGGAACUGGGUAUAGGGGCGAAAGACUAAUCGAACCAUCUAGUAGCUGGUUCCCUCCGAAGUUUCCCUCAGGAUAGCUGGCGCUCGUCGCUCACGAGUCUCAUCCGGUAAAGCGAAUGAUUAGAGGCAUUGGGGUCGAAACGACCUCAACCUAUUCUCAAACUUUAAAUGGGUGAGAUCUCCGGCUUGCUCGAACGCAUGAAGCCGCGAGAAUUAAUAUCGGAUCAGAGUGCCAAGUGGGCCAUUUUU
This 949-nucleotide ribosomal RNA is filed under the name Akalyptoischion atrichos. Its description in RNAcentral is "eukaryotic LSU rRNA". The stretch from base 425 to 949 matches the Rfam family "Eukaryotic large subunit ribosomal RNA", at positions 665 to 1138 of the family's 3401-position model. The record is from RNAcentral. Lineage: Eukaryota; Metazoa; Arthropoda; Insecta; Coleoptera; Latridiidae.